GAACGACCACAGGAAGGAGAUUAGAGAAGUAUUUGUAAGAAGCAGAAAAUUGGAGAAAGAAGCAAGAUAGAGAGAGGUUUCAUUUGGAACUGUUUGCUGUACUAUUUGCUGGCUAACAGAUGAUUGAUAGGAUUGUAGAAAAAGCGUAUUUACAAUUCAGAGAGUAAGCAGCUGGUCUUAACUGGCUGUCUCAUGCAAACACAAACAUCUCUACAUGCUUCUCGGAUCAAUUGCGGGAACGUGGCUAACGUGGUACGGGGAUUUCAACAGGAUUACACAAUCGGCAAACUACUUGGAAUUCUGGGACAACGGGUAUAAUGGUUGGGUUAUAAAGUCGUGUUAGAACUACAGUAGAUUCAAUCAAGCAGCAACAGCACACCCUUGUCUCCCAGAUGAGUUAGUGCUGGUUUCAUCUGAAUCAGAGCAUGAAGGUUUGCCUACAAAUGCCUCAUCCAGUAUGUCCAAAGCCUCCAUUGAAACAGCCUUGUUGCGGUCGUGAAGUUGAGUCACUAGCAGUUCCAUUCCCCAGUUGCUGAAGAACUCCACGUUAGCUCGGAGUAGUACCCGCAGAUGUUUGGUGGCGUACAGCCUGCCAUUCUGUGUCAAAAGGAUGUUAAAGGAACAUCAUUACUUAGCCCGCAGCAUACGUGGCAGCAGUGAGGAUCUUGGAGAGGAUGACUCGUGCCAAACCGUCCCGACUGUAAUCCAGUGUGGAAGCGAUCAGCUUCAGAAGAUGGUCUUGGUUCUUCAGAGUACACAGGUGUUACACUAACCAUUGGAAGACACUGCACUUCUCGAGCAUCUUAACACCCUGCGGGUGGGCUGAGAGAGUGCCCAGGAAGAGGAAGUAGUGCUGACUGAGGGUGGUGAGGAGACCAUUGCUCUGCAGACUACGGU
Molecule: long non-coding RNA, 897 nt
Organism: Triplophysa dalaica
Lineage: Eukaryota; Metazoa; Chordata; Actinopteri; Cypriniformes; Nemacheilidae
Exons: 5
Source: RefSeq, a predicted model, not a curated record